Molecule: long non-coding RNA, 1227 nt
Filed under: Monodelphis domestica (gray short-tailed opossum)
Lineage: Eukaryota; Metazoa; Chordata; Mammalia; Didelphimorphia; Didelphidae
Description: lncRNA (ENSMODG00000041510.1)
Source: RNAcentral
AUGAUGUCAAGAUAUAUUGUUGAUUUAUAUGGAGGGAAGGGAGGAAGGAAGAAAGGAAGAAAGGACAUAGGAAGAAAGGACAUAGGAAGGAAGGAAGGAAGGAAGGAAGGAAGGAAGGAAGGAAGGAAGGAAGGAAGGAAGGAAGGAAGGAAGGAAGGAAGGAAGGAAGGAAGGAAGGAAGGAAGGAAGGAAGGAAGGAAGGAAGGAAGGAAGGAAGGAAGGAAGGAAGGAAGGAAGGAAGGAAGGAAGGGAAAGAAAGAAAGAAAGAAAGAAAGAAAGAAAGAAAGAAAGAAAGAAAGAAAGAAAGAAAGAAAGAAAGAAAGAAAGAAAGAAAGAAAGAAAGAAAGAAAGAAAGAAAGAAAGAAAGAAAGAAAGAAAGAAAGAAGGAAGGAAAGAAGGAAGGAAAGAAGGAAAGAAAGAAGUAAAGAAAGAAAGGAAGAAAGAGAGAGAGAGGAAGGAAGGAAGAAAAAGAAAGAAAGAGAAAGAGAGGAAGGAAGGAAAAAGAGAGAGAGGAAGGAAGGAAGAAAAAGAAAGAAAGAAAGAAAGAAAGAAAGAAAGAAAGAAAGAAAGAAAGAAAGAAAGAAAGAAAGAAAGAAAGAAAGAAAGAAAGAAAGAAAGAAAGAAAGAAAGAAAGAAAGAAAGAAAGAAAGAAAGAAAGAAAGAAAGAAAGAAAGAAAGAAAGAAAGAAGCGGAGCGAGGGAGGGAGGAAGGAAGGAAGAAGAAAGCUUUAUCUCCUAAUGUGAGGAUUUGGAAAUAAGUUCAAAAUUCCCUCCCAUCACCCAAAAACCAGUAUUUGCAAAAGUGGAGAGGGAGGAUUAAAAAUUAACUAUUAGUUGCAUCAAUUUCCUUUAGCUGCUGUAGUUUCAGGACUCAGCAAAAGCAUUUUCAGGGACCCAGACUGUACAUUGCAGCCAAGCUGGCCACCUGGCUAUUUCCCCACACUCGGCACCCCACCUCCUGCGUGAGCACAGGCUGUUCCCAAUGCCAGAGUACACUCAUGACUCAUUUUUGCCUCUUAGCAUCUUUAACUUCUUUCAAGGUAGAGUUCUUGUUCUAUCUCUUCAGGAAGAUCUUCCUUCAUUGUAAGUCAUCUUACCUUCCUCAAUCAUCACAUCUAAUUAUCCCUUGGAUACUAAUGUUUCCAUUUUGUAUCCUUUCAGUAAACUGCAAACUUCUUGAGGACAAGGACCAUGUUUUUAUGCUGUCUUUGUAUCCCUUAGUGCCUAA